AUUGGCGAAGCCGGUUGAUUAUGACCAAUCACCGAGCUCGUCACAUCUUCCGCAUUCGGGUGACCUUCCUCCAUUUUUCUGUGUCCGAAAUCGCCGGUGUUCGUCAACUUCAGGUCGUUUUACGGGCGAUUUUAAACCAGGUCAGUGAAUAAGAUGGCAGGAGCCGGGGGUCCAGAGCCAGUGUUUACUGGCAUGAAGCACUACUUCAACUCCUACACUAUAUUUGGCAGGAGAAAUUUUGUGUUAGCGACAUACGGCACCAUUUUUGGUCUGAUCCUGAUCAGCAAGCUGCGCAAACCCAAGCAGAAGGCAGUGUCCAACUAAGGAGAUGUAAUAGAAGAUCCAGAUGUAGCCAUCUUAUUCCACAAGAGACCAUACUGCUGCUUUGAAGUGUCAUCUAACCAAGAAGAAGCUUUCCCAAGUUGACACCAUCAGUAGCCAUGUAAAUGUGCUUCAGCAGAUGUGAUUGAUUCAUUUUCCAUUGACAGUGUGAAAUGUACUUGAAGUCUUCAUUCAUUAAAGGAAUGUAAACCGUG
Long non-coding RNA from Branchiostoma belcheri (Belcher's lancelet), 536 nucleotides. RefSeq lists it as uncharacterized. The transcript is spliced from 4 exons. Lineage: Eukaryota; Metazoa; Chordata; Leptocardii; Amphioxiformes; Branchiostomatidae. The record is from RefSeq and is a predicted model, not a curated record.